CCUUAAUGCAAUAUCCGGUGCUGUGAGGGGCUUGACCCCAUAUCUCACCAUCAAUCAGACCAAAUAUUUUUUCUAAAGUUUCAACCUUACUAACAUGAUUCUCAUCCCAUCCUCCUCCUUUGCCAACACCAUGUCAUCCGCAUAUAACAGCGAAUAAAUUUUCUCUCCUUCUAGCUUGACCCCAUAGCUCACCGUCGAUCAAACCAAAUAUUUUUUCUAAAGUUUCAACCUUACUAACAUGAUUCUCAUCCUAUCCUCCUCUUCCACCAACACCAUGUCAUCCGCAUAUAACAGCGAAUAAAUUUUCUCUCCUUCUAGCUUGACCCCAUACCUCACCAUCGAUCAGACCAAAUAUUUUUUCUAAAAUUUCAACCUAACUUGAUUCUCAUCCCAUCCUCCUCCUCUGCCAACACCAUGUCAUCCGUAUAUAACAUAAAUAAAUAAAUUUUCUCUCCUUCUAGUUUGACUCCAUACCUCAUCAUCAAUCAGACCAAAUAUUUUUUCUAAAGUUUCAAACUUACUAACAUGAUUCUCAUCCCUUGAGACUUAAAGACGUCUUUAAGAUGACGUCUAAAAAAUGACGUCCUAUACACAUAAAUGUAUGUGUG
Molecule: long non-coding RNA, 608 nt
Organism: Wasmannia auropunctata (little fire ant)
Lineage: Eukaryota; Metazoa; Arthropoda; Insecta; Hymenoptera; Formicidae
Exons: 2
Source: RefSeq, a predicted model, not a curated record